RNAcentral lists this long non-coding RNA (346 nucleotides) under Urocitellus parryii (Arctic ground squirrel). Its description in RNAcentral is "lncRNA (ENSUPAG00010021093.1)". The record is from RNAcentral. Lineage: Eukaryota; Metazoa; Chordata; Mammalia; Rodentia; Sciuridae.
AUUCCAGAGCCCGCCCAGCUGAGCUUGUGCAGAGGACCCCGGGUGAGAGGUGACACUCAGGCCUCCAAGAAGACCACUCUGGGGACGCUGGCAAAGAUAGGCCUUUCCUGCUGAGCCAGGCCUAUCUGCACAGCCUGCUCAGGCGCUGUCCACGGCCCGAGGCCGGGGCUCAAGCAGAAGGUUCUCCACAGUACCCACAGCUGAUAGCCAGCAACGGGCAAAGCCCCCAGGCACGGGGGCCCUCUCUCUCCCAGAGAUCUCCAGUGUGACAGCCCAGGCGGCAGAGCCGAGGGUCCUGGUCCCGGCUUCUCGCACCCUCAUGUCAGCCCCGGCCCCGCCCGGAGGC